CCAUAAUCAAUGAGGCAUUCUAGAUGAAUCUUACUUUGACACAAACAAUGCAAUAUACUUUAAAAGUAGAGUUAACUCUGAGCUGGACAAUACUCCCCUAUUAAAACUCCUUUAUGAGGGAGAGACAUCUUGUCCAUUCAAUCCUUUUUAUCAGUAAAAGAAUGACUUUCAGGAUUAAUCAAUUUGCAAAUGGAAAUGAAGAGCCACGAUUUGAACAGCAGAAGUUUGCGGGGCCCCUUUCACGUGGGAUGUAACAAGCGCUUUUCUUGCUCCAGGAGCGAUAGCAUACAAUUGUUUCAUUCUAGCCGGCUGGACAGCAUUUCACCUUUUG
Pelobates cultripes (western spadefoot toad) is the source of this 331-nucleotide non-coding RNA. NCBI's taxonomy places the organism in Eukaryota, Metazoa, Chordata, Amphibia, Anura, Pelobatidae. The record is from the annotation of a GenBank genome assembly.